GAUGAACGCUGGCGGCGUGCCUAAUACAUGCAAGUCGAGCGAACAGACGAGAGUGCUUGCACUCUCUGACGUUAGCGGCGGACGGGUGAGUAACACGUGGGUAACCUACCUAUAAGACUGGGAUAACUUCGGGAAACCGGAGCUAAUACCGGAUAAUAUUUAGCUUCGCAUGAAGCAAUAGUGAAAGACGGUUCUGCUGUCACUUAUAGAUGGACCCGCGGUGUAUUAGCUAGUUGGUGAGGCAACGGCUCACCAAGGCAACGAUACAUAGCCGACCUGAGAGGGUGAUCGGCCACACUGGGACUGAGACACGGCCCAGACUCCUACGGGAGGCAGCAGUAGGGAAUCUUCCGCAAUGGACGAAAGUCUGACGGAGCAAUGCCGCGUGAGUGAAGAAGGUUUUCGGAUCGUAAAACUCUGUUGUAAGGGAAGAACAAGUACGUUAGUAACUGAACGUACCUUGACGGUACCUUACCAGAAAGCCACGGCUAACUACGUG
RNAcentral lists this ribosomal RNA (499 nucleotides) under uncultured bacterium. RNAcentral describes it as "partial 16S ribosomal RNA". It matches the Rfam family "Bacterial small subunit ribosomal RNA", at positions 28 to 507 of the family's 1533-position model. The record is from RNAcentral.